This 163-nucleotide non-coding RNA is filed under the name uncultured Agathobacter sp. The record is from RNAcentral. Lineage: Bacteria; Bacillati; Bacillota; Clostridia; Lachnospirales; Lachnospiraceae.
GCGCAGCUGUUUAGUGACUGUAGAAUUAUGCUGUGAAGCACAUAAAUGCCGAGGCAUGGACGCCGAGGCAAGGAGAAAUCGAGCCAUGGAUGGCGAGUUUCGACGGUUUCGUCGGGCAUAGAAAGCCUGGGGCAUAAUUCGUACAGACACUUGACAGCGAAGC